This 143-nucleotide ribosomal RNA is filed under the name uncultured eukaryote. RNAcentral's name for it is "partial 18S ribosomal RNA". It matches the Rfam family "Eukaryotic small subunit ribosomal RNA", at positions 1299 to 1458 of the family's 1831-position model. The record is from RNAcentral.
UGGUGGUGUGAAUUGUCUGGUUAAUUCCGUUAACGAACGAGACCUCAACCAACUAAAUAGUAGAACCAUUCUUACGGAUGGGGACUUAUUACUUCUUAGAGGGACUUUUCGCUUUUAGCGGAAGGAAGUUUGAGGCAACAACA